AAUCAACGCUGGCGGCGUGCCUAACACAUGCAAGUCGAACGAGAAAGGGGACUUCGGUCCCUGAGUACAGUGGCGCACGGGUGAGUAACACGUGACUUAUCUACCCUCGAGUGGGGAAUAACUUCGGGAAACCGAGGCUAAUACCGCAUAAUACCCACGGGUCAAAGGAGCAAUUCGCUUGAGGAGGAGGUCGCGGCCGAUUAGUUAGUUGGCGGGGUAAUGGCCCCACCAGGACGGUGAUCGGUAUCCGGCCUGAGAGGGCGCACGGACACACUGGAACUGAAACACGGUCCAGACUCCUACGGGAGGCAGCAGUGGGGAAUUUUGCGCAAUGGGGGAAACCCUGACGCAGCAACGCCGCGUGGAGGAUGAAGUCUCUUGGGACGUAAACUCCUUUCGAUCGGGACGAUUAUGACGGUACCGGAAGAAGAAGCCCCGGCUAACUUCGUG
RNAcentral lists this ribosomal RNA (450 nucleotides) under uncultured bacterium. Its description in RNAcentral is "bacterial SSU rRNA". It matches the Rfam family "Bacterial small subunit ribosomal RNA", at positions 32 to 507 of the family's 1533-position model. The record is from RNAcentral.